AGCCAACACCUGAGGACACCUGAGGACAGAGCCUCUGUCUCCCAGUCUCUGUGAGAAAGUAGAAUUCUAACUUCAAUAAUACCAGCUAGCAGACACCACUGGCCUAGUUGCAUUUACACUUGACCUUUGGUUAAAAAAAGUAGAUGGGGACUUCCCUGGAUGCAGUGGUUAAGACUUCACCUUCAUUGGAAGGCAGGGGGUGUGGCUUCAAUCCCUGGUCGGGGAGCUAAGAUCCACAUGCCUCACAGCCAAAAAACCAAAACUAAAAAAGAAGCAAAAAACUAAAAAUAGAACUACCAUAUGACCCAGCAAUCCUACUACUGGGCACAUACCCAGAGAAAACCAUAAUUCAAAAAGACACAUGCGGGCUUCCCUGGUUGUGCAGUGGUUAAGAAUCUGCCUGCGAAUGCUGGUGGACACGGGUUCGAGCCCUGGUCUGGGAAGAUCCCACAUGCCGCGGAGCAACUAAGCCUGUGCACUGCAACUACUGAGCCUGCGCUCUAGAGCCCGCAAGCCACAACUACUGAGCCCACAUGCCACAACUACUGAAGCCUGUGCACCUAGAGCCCGUGCUCUGGAACAAGACAAGCCACAGCAAUGAGAAGCCUGCGCACCGCAACGAAGAGUAGCCCCCGCUCACCACAACUAGAGAAAGCCCAUGUGCAGCAACGAAGACCCAAUGCAGCCAAAAAAAAACAGACACAUGCACCCCAGUGUUCAUUGCAGCACUAUUUACAAUAGCCAGGUCAUGGAAGCAACCUAAAUGCCCAUCGACAGACGAAUAGAUAAAGAAGAUGUGGUACAUAUAUACAAUGGAAUAUUACUCAGCCAUAUAAAGGAACAAAGUUGGGUCAUUUGUAGAGACAUGGAUGGACCUAGAGACUGUAAUACAGAGUGAAGGCUUUUACAAAUAUAUAUAUAUGGAUCUUCUGAGAAGGUUUUUGAGGUGCACAUUUCUCUCUUUUGUUUUUCUCUUGAUUUAUGGACACGAUGCUGAGAUUCAAUCACUACAUGAAACUCCCAGCUGUGAAAACAAAACAAAAAACCCAAAGGGCUGUUUUUUCCACCAGCCCUGGGGAAGCUAUGUGACGGUCGGAGGCCGGUUUCAGAAAGUUUCACCAUUCUUUCCACCCUCUGUUCCUCUCUCUCCUCCAGAAGGAAGUUGAUCCUAGUGAUUUCAGCCCAUGCGUUAAGCAGGAAACAAUAAUAAACGUGUAGAAUUCAUAUUUUUCUAAAGGGAACUUAAAAACUCCCGCUGCGUUAUGUACAAAACUGGUUUAUGCCACAUGAACACAGAAUCCCAAGUUCGGUUUGGGUACUUUUCGUUCCGCUUUGCGUUCAGUUGUAUAGUACUUCCAAGUUCAAAAUGAGAAGAAAAAGCUGUUCUGUAUCAAACCAUCUAAGCAAUAAAUGUUAUAUUUUAAAGAUGGAAAAAAAAAUCUGCCUACCAAUGCAGGGGACGCAGGUUCGAGCCUGGUCUGGGAAGAUUCCACAUGCCGCGGAGCAGCUAAGCCCGUGUGCUGCAACUACUGAGCCUGAGCUGUAGAGCCCACGAACCACAACUACUGAGCCCACGUGCCACAACUACUGAAGCCCGUGCGCCUACAGCCCGUGCUCCGGAACAAGAGAAGCCACUGCGAUGAGAAGCCCACGCACCGCAACGAAGAGUAGCCCCCGCUCGCCGCAACUAGGGAAAGCCUGCGCGCAGCAACGAAGACCCAGUGCAGCCAACAAUAAAAUAAAGUUUAAAAAAUAAGUAGAUAAAUAUGUAAGGUAAGCAAUAUAAGUAUAUGAUAGUACAGGUGACACAAGGAUAAAGCAAAAAUGACGGUACUUGGGAAUUAGGGAAAUGCUGAUCCAAUUCCACACCCCUCACUUUACAGCUGAGGAGACUUCUACACAAAGAGGCAAAACUAAAAGUCAUAGGUUGGGCAUUUUCCCUGAAUCCCAGUACCAGACUCCCCGUGUGACCCUGGGUGGGAGGAGAGUCAAAGCAAGCACAGAAAUAGCUCUUGCAAAGGCAGCCUAGGACAGGUUCUCCAUGGAGUCUACUGAAGAGGGAGAGCCGCCUGUGAUUGGGGAAGGGGUCUGGAAGGACUUCCAGGGGGAGGGUAUGUGCCCUAAACCAGGCAGUGAGAGCUACCUGGGGCAGAGGUGGGAGGGAGGGGUGUCCUGCUUGAAGGGACAGCAGAAUAAAGGCAGAGAGCACAGUGCUGGCAUGGAUGAAGGCUCUGAAUUGGGAGAGAAGUGGAGAUAGGUACAGCAGAGCCCGGAAUGCCUCAGGGAGGAGUUUGUUCCUCCUCUGAUGGCCCCUGGGAGCCACUGAAGGUCUCAGAGCAGGAGCAGCCUUCUGGGAGGAAUAACCAGGGGCUGGGAGAGGUCUGAGCUGGGCGUGCAGAUGUGAGAGCCCCCUCCAAAGAGGGGCCAAGGGGUUGACAGGCUGGCCUAGAGGGAGAGUGUAGAGAGAGGAAGAAGGUAGCAAGGAGAAGCUACGGGGAACACCUGCCUUUAGGAAGUAGGAGGAGGAAGAACAGCCAUCAGAGAGGCAAGAGAAGCAGGAAUGUAGAGAGGAGCCCAAACCAUGAGAGGCUAGGGUGGUGAAAGGAGCAGAGGGCCAGUGCCCAGGCGGCACCCAGGCCGGGAACGGUGGAGCUGGUGCUUGCGGGGCGCAGGGGGUUGUCACAGGGUUUCUCCAAUGGGAGGAUGUUAAUUUGUUGGCCCCUAAAAUAGCAGUUGUCACUCCAGGCCACUGUUUGACUAUCCCUAAGGACUUCUGCUUGGAGAGGCCCUGCCUCUCACUGGCUGUGCAACUUUGGGCAAAUUACCUCUCCCUGAACCUCAAUUCCCACCUCUGUAAAACGGGGAUAAGAACAGCAACUUCAUGGGCUUAUUGUACAGAUUAAUGGGGACGGUAUUAGCCUGUGCCUGGCAGAGAGCCAGUGCUCUCAGAUGGAAUUUCUUGGUUGUACCACCGCAGAGGGUCGGUGUGCACGUGCUAAGUGCUGGCUCUGUGCUGGGCACUGGCAGUACAGUGCUGCGUGCAGGCCGAGUCUGCCCUGGAGGAGCUCACAGUCUGGCCAGGCUUGAGCACCUGAAUCUCGGCACUCUGGGGAACCCCCAGCGUGGGCCCAUUUUGCCAGCACUCCAGCCCCUGGAGUUUUUCCAAGAACUUGUACUGAAAUAGUUAUCCACAGCCACCUUGCUUUGACAAAACCCAAGGUUCUGUGAUGUUUCUGUGGGUGAGGGCAUGGUCUCUGAGAGCCCGCUUCCCCCCUGGAGCUCAGCCUUCAUCCAGAGCGGCUGCUCCCAGAGGUCGGGGGUGCCUCUCAUUGGGGGAGAAAGAACUAAGAAAGUGAGGGAGUGGUCAUCCUGCUGCAUAUCUGUACUUUACAGACAAAGUUCCCAUCAGGGCACCCCUCUCAUGAGGUCACAGAGUCUAGAGAUAGGACAUGGAUCCGUCCUUUCAGCAUGUCAGGAAAGCACCUUCUGCAUCCCAGCACUGUGGGAGGCUUGGGAGCACAUCUGGGAACCGACAGAGCCUACACGGGCCAGCGGGGAAAUAAACCUCUAACUCCGCAUUUUGAUGAGAGCCACAGAGGAAGAGUAUUCAUUCUCUUGAGUUCUGGGUGGUCAGGGAGGUCGUGUGUGUGUGUGUUGUGAUGUUCACGUUGAGACCUAGAGGUUGAGAAGGAGGCUUCUCUGCAGGGCCUGCGGUAGAGUUCCAGGCCCAGGCAGCAGCACAGGUGAAGGCCCUGAUACGUGUAAGACCUUGACCUCUUCAAAGAACCAGUGUUUCUGGAACAGAGUUGGAGUGGGGUGUGGACCACUGGGCAGAGUUGGAUUCUAAGAGUUGAAGCCCCCAAAGGGCUUGAAGUGGUGCACUUUAAGAAAUUGUUGUAUAUUUAUUCAAUAAUAUUUAUUGUUUUCCUUUAUUUCAGCAAAAUCGCUAUAUUAUUAUAAACAGUCUCAUUGCA
Long non-coding RNA from Globicephala melas (long-finned pilot whale), 3974 nucleotides. RefSeq lists it as uncharacterized. Lineage: Eukaryota; Metazoa; Chordata; Mammalia; Artiodactyla; Delphinidae. The record is from RefSeq and is a predicted model, not a curated record.